Long non-coding RNA from Cornus florida, 1545 nucleotides. RefSeq lists it as uncharacterized. The transcript has 2 exons. The record is from RefSeq and is a predicted model, not a curated record. Lineage: Eukaryota; Viridiplantae; Streptophyta; Magnoliopsida; Cornales; Cornaceae.
UCUUAAAGAGAGGUCAGGUUUAAAUCUCAAAAGAGACAAAUAUAUUUGAGUACCAAUUAAAAAAUAAUAAUAAUAAUAGUAAUGGUUUAAAAAAAAAAUGCUAGAAACAAAUCACAAACUUACCCUGAGAGUUUAGAUACAUAAAGAUUUUCUCCUCCAAUUUAUUCCAUCCCCCAUCGUCCCUCAACCUCUCUUCCUUUCUUCCUUCCCAUCAAACCAAGUAUUUAAAAUGAAAUACUAAGGGCGUGUUUGGGACAUCUUGGGGCCGCUAAACGGGCUUCCAAGCCCAAAAAGUCAUCCCAAAAGCCCGUUAGGCUGGAGUCCAUAUAAACCCUAGCGUUUCUGUAGUCGAGUUGGAUUACGCCGGCGUGCCUCAACUCUCAAGAGCCGCCCCAAAGAGCACACUGCCGACGGGAAAGAAAGGAGUCAAAAGUUUUAUGUGCAGUACUGGAUUGUUAUCUUGCUAUGACACACACCAAUAAAAGAAGGUGCAUUCAGAGGGCGGUGAACUGGAUGUGGACAUGAUUUUCAAGAGUUGCUUACUAUGUUCAUUCUUUUAUGUUGGUCUGUUCUUGUGUGGGGUAAUUUUUUUUAUUUAUUUUAAUCUUCUGUUUAUAAAUAAUUAAGUAGUUGGGAAAAGGCCUCGUAGUUGUUGAUUUGCAUAUGAGCAUAUUUGUAAAAGACACUGUAUGUUUAUUAGUUGUUUUUUGUAUUUUGUUCCUUUCUUAUAUGUUCUUAUGGGGUGUUUUGUCUGAUGAGUUAUUUCUGUAAGCCAUUUAUAUUUCUAACAUUCGGUUGUUCAAGUUUCAUGAACUCGAUGUUCAAUGGUGUAGCCUUUGUAGUGAUAAGAUCAUCUGUGAUGUAUGGAUUUCAUAGUCAAGGGAAAACUUACUCUUGUUGACUUCAUCAAGUUGAUGCUUUAUCUUUGGGGCUGAUUUAUAAUAUGAAGUUGUAGACUUGACUCAACCAAAAAUGAAUACUAGUCCGCAUUCUUUCCAUAAAAUCUCAAUCUGAAUUGUAAUUUCUUUCAUUUACAGAAUGAAAAAUGAUAUAAUUGCCAAUGGCAACAAACCCGACUGAUGUGUUAGCUAUUUAGAUAGACAUAAUAGGAGAAGCAUUCACUGACACAGAGUCCUUGUUGAAUUCUAUUGAUUGGUAUUGCGAUUCGGUUUUUGUAUCAUUACUCUUACAGCUUUGGUUAUUGGUACCGCUUUCUUUAGUUGUUGCAGCGUGCUGAUUAAUUGAUAUUUGGUAAUUUGUGUUUGUGCAUGCUCUCAAGAGGACAUCACAAGGAUUGCUUCAAGUUCACCCUUCUUCAAUGCCAAAACUGGUUUCAAGCCCUGCUGGACUCUUCCCUUAGAAUACAAGUUAUUGUACCUUUUAAGUUCUAAUUGCUGAAAAUAGAAAAAAGAACAUACGCUUUCAAUUUUAUGAAAAAGUAGUUCUUCCUUUACAAGCAAUGCUGAAGUUUAGAGAUGCCUUAUUUGAGUUUGAAACUUGCUGUAAUCCACUGCUUUUUCAAAAAAAUAAAAAUAAAAAUAAAAA